GAUGGUUUAAAAAGACGAGAAGACCCUAUAGAGUUUAAUAAAUAAAUUAUUUGAUAUUAUUUAUAAUUAUAAAAUUGAAAUUAAUUUAUUUAUUUUGUUGGGGUGAUAAAAAAAUAUAAAAAACUUUUUUUUUUAGUUAACAUUUAUAAGUGAUUAAAUGAUCCAAUAUUAUUGAUUAUAAGAAUAAAUUACCUUAGGGAUAACAGCGUAAUUUUUUUUUUUAGUUCA
RNAcentral lists this ribosomal RNA (228 nucleotides) under Pirateolea piscator. RNAcentral describes it as "partial 16S large subunit ribosomal RNA". Lineage: Eukaryota; Metazoa; Arthropoda; Insecta; Lepidoptera; Noctuidae. The record is from RNAcentral.